AGAGUUUGAUCCUGGCUCAGAGUGAACGCUGGCGGCGUGCUUAACACAUGCAAGUCGAACGAGAACGGAUUAUAGCUUGCUAUAAUUGUCAGCUAAGUGGCGCACGGGUGAGUAAUAUAUAGGUAACAUGCCCUUUACAAAGAAAUAACAGUUGGAAACGACUGCUAAUGUCUUAUAUGCCUUUAAUACAUAAGUAUGCAAGGGAAAGAUUUAUCGGUAAAGGAUUGGCCUGUACGGUAUCAGCUAGUUGGUGAGGUAAAAGCUCACCAAGGCAAUGACGCCUAACUGGUUUGAGAGGAUGAUCCGUCACACUGGAACUGAGACACGGUCCAGACUCCUACGGGAGGCAGCAGUGGGGAAUAUUGCACAAUGGGGGAAACCCUGAUGCACCAACGCCGCGUGGAGGAUGACACAUUUCGGUGCGUAAACUCCUUUUAUAUAGGAAGAUAAUGACGGUACUAUAUGAAUAAGCCCCGGCUAACUACGUGCCAGCAGCCGCGGUAAUACGUAGGGGGCAAGCGUUAUCCGGAUUUACUGGGUGUAAAGGGUGCGUAGGCGGCUGAUUAAGUCAGAUGUGAAAGCCCGAAGCUUAACUUCGGGACUGCAUUUGAAACUACUUGGCUAGAGUGCAGGAGAGGAAAGCGGAAUUCCUAGUGUAGCGGUGA
RNAcentral lists this ribosomal RNA (665 nucleotides) under uncultured Campylobacterota bacterium. RNAcentral's name for it is "bacterial SSU rRNA". It matches the Rfam family "Bacterial small subunit ribosomal RNA", at positions 8 to 684 of the family's 1533-position model. The record is from RNAcentral. Lineage: Bacteria; Pseudomonadati; Campylobacterota.